Trichechus manatus latirostris (Florida manatee) is the source of this 329-nucleotide long non-coding RNA. RefSeq lists it as uncharacterized. NCBI's taxonomy places the organism in Eukaryota, Metazoa, Chordata, Mammalia, Sirenia, Trichechidae. The transcript is spliced from 3 exons. The record is from RefSeq and is a predicted model, not a curated record.
UGAGUAGCUACUGAACAUCUAAGGAUUGUGUUCUUGUUCCAGGAAUGAAGAAGAGGAAAGAUGAAGGGGGAUGGAUAAGUGGCUAUAUUAGGACUUGCAACGUUUCCAGAAACUUCAACCAAAUUCUGCUUAUAUCUUGGUGCCCUGAAGCGUGUCCUACAGCCACAUUUAGCUGCCAAAGAGUCUGGCACAGUUUUACAUGUACUUCCAUUUUUGUGAGGAAGAGAAGGUUCAUUUGGAUGAUAACGGUUUAUAACUUGAGACUUUCAAGAUGGAGAAGGUAAUCAAUUUGGUUAGGGACGAAGAGGGAAGGCAUUGUGAGUGAGGUG